Molecule: ribosomal RNA, 1359 nt
Filed under: Weissella confusa
Lineage: Bacteria; Bacillati; Bacillota; Bacilli; Lactobacillales; Lactobacillaceae
Description: partial 23S ribosomal RNA
Rfam family: Eukaryotic large subunit ribosomal RNA
Source: RNAcentral
GGGAGUUUAUCUGUAGUGCGAGUCUUUGCUCGUUAACAGUAAAGGCGUAAAGAAGGUAACUGGCGUUCGCGCAUGGCUACUGAGCAUUACUGAUAGAACCCGAAUGGUGGUGAACUUUGCCUGCACAGGGCGAAGCCAGGGGAAACUCUGGUGGAGGUCCGUACGAGUUAUUGAUGUGCAAAUCAUUUUUCAGAUGUAGGUAAAGGUGCGAAAGACUCAUCGAACCACCUAAUAGCUGGUUUCCUCCGAAGUUUCCCUCAGGAUAGCCGUAAUGCCUAACUAGUUAAGGGGAGUAGAGAUAUGGGUAGAGGUGUAGGGAUCCUUCGGGAUCUCAACUUAUUUCCAAACUUCGAACCUUCUUGUGGUGUAUUUACCUAACAGUGAAAUACCCAGUUAAAUUAGCGUUACGAGUGGGCUCGAACCGGUAAGCGGUUCUGGCGAAAUGGGAUGAACCAUACGUUAGAAUAAGGUGCCUAAGUGUACUACCACUGAUACCAUUAAGAGAGUCCAUGUAUUAAAACAGCAGGUCGGUGCCCCUAAAAGCAGGCGAUCCGCUAAAGAGUGUGUUAAAACUCACCUGCCGAAUACUCGGGCCUCGAAAAUGAAUGGCGCAUAUAGUACCACCGAUGCCUAACACUUGUUCCAUUGAACAAGGAGUAGGGGGAUGUGGACAGUUUUGAGAAGGUAACACGUGAGUGUUACUCGAAGACUGUCUAUUACAGAUCCUAAUUGAAGUAGCGAUUAUCCAGGUUAGUAUCCUGGGGGCUGAUGAGGAGUAGGGUUUCUGGGCAACUUAAACAGACCCAGAGUUAGUCGAUCCUAAUCAAGGCAUUUUUUCUUGAGAAAGGGAGUACAGUUGACAUUCUGUAACUGACAACAGUUCGCGGCAACGCAUACUAUUUUUCUCCGUCAAUCUUAUACCGUUUGGUAGGGAUUUCUUUCCUAUAUGACAGUGCUGAGGCCCAGGGAAACUGGUCAGCAGGCGAACUGCGGUCUCGUAUCUGGCAAAAUGUAGCUCCGGCGACAUCAAUGGCUAUUGGAUUGGUCCAUGAAGCGAAAAAUAGUUUACUGUGUCACUCGUACCGAUAACCGCAUCAGGUCUUCUAGGUGAGUAGCCUAUGGCCAUUGAGGCAUGAUAGUUCAGGGAAUUCGGCCAAUUAGAGCUGUAACUUCGGGAUAAAGCUUGGCUCUGGUGAAAAUCAGAACCGAUUGUUACGCGGAGAGCCCAACUGUUUAAUAAAAACGUAGUGUCGCGCUGUGCUCAUAUAGGCAGUGAACGCGACAUGAAUCCUGCUCAGUGCUGUGUCUGUUAAUAUGGUUCAAGCCAACGAAGCACCGGUAAAUAGCUGGGGUAACUAU